UACGUAGGGCGCAAGCGUUGUCCGGAAUUAUUGGGCGUAAAGAGCUCGUAGGCGGUCUGUCGCGUCGGUCGUGAAAACUUGGGGCUUAACCCUGAGCUUGCGGUCGAUACGGGCAUGACUGGAGUUCGGUAGGGGAGACUGGAAUUCCUGGUGUAGCGGUGAAAUGCGCAGAUAUCAGGAGGAACACCGAUGGCGAAGGCAGGUCUCUGGGCCAUAACUGACGCUGAGAAGCGAAAGCAUGGGGAGCGAACAGG
Molecule: ribosomal RNA, 254 nt
Filed under: uncultured bacterium
Lineage: Bacteria
Description: partial 16S ribosomal RNA
Rfam family: Bacterial small subunit ribosomal RNA
Source: RNAcentral